CGAUUGCGUCAGCUGGGACUCAAGCUUCAGUUCAGUCAUCCUCAUCAUCUUGAAAUCGAGAAGGCAAAGAAGCUGCUGAAAGAAUUUCACCUGAAGAUGGUGGAGAGGGCUAUGCAACAUACAUCUACAAUUUCAUCAUCUUCGGUUUCUUGCAGUGAUACUGAUAAGGUUUGUGAUUGAAUUUACCUACCAAAAAAAA
Molecule: non-coding RNA, 199 nt
Organism: Camellia sinensis
Lineage: Eukaryota; Viridiplantae; Streptophyta; Magnoliopsida; Ericales; Theaceae
Source: RefSeq, a predicted model, not a curated record